UAGGAUCGACAAACGAGAGACUGUGCUGU
Molecule: non-coding RNA, 29 nt
Filed under: Rattus norvegicus (Norway rat)
Lineage: Eukaryota; Metazoa; Chordata; Mammalia; Rodentia; Muridae
Source: RNAcentral